GCCUUCGCAGUGUAGUCGUCAGCACGCUAGCCCCGUAUUCGAGAGGUCCAAGGUUCGAAUCCCGGCGAGGGCA
Molecule: transfer RNA, 73 nt
Filed under: Stegodyphus mimosarum
Lineage: Eukaryota; Metazoa; Arthropoda; Arachnida; Araneae; Eresidae
Rfam family: tRNA
About the family: Transfer RNA (tRNA) molecules are approximately 80 nucleotides in length. Their secondary structure includes four short double-helical elements and three loops (D, anti-codon, and T loops). Further hydrogen bonds mediate the characteristic L-shaped molecular structure. tRNAs have two regions of fundamental functional importance: the anti-codon, which is responsible for specific mRNA codon recognition, and the 3' end, to which the tRNAs corresponding amino acid is attached (by aminoacyl-tRNA synthetases). tRNAs cope with the degeneracy of the genetic code in two manners: having more than one tRNA (with a specific anti-codon) for a particular amino acid; and 'wobble' base-pairing, i.e. permitting non-standard base-pairing at the 3rd anti-codon position.
Source: Rfam by way of RNAcentral